RNAcentral lists this ribosomal RNA (329 nucleotides) under uncultured Pseudomonas sp. Its description in RNAcentral is "bacterial SSU rRNA". It matches the Rfam family "Bacterial small subunit ribosomal RNA", at positions 1053 to 1382 of the family's 1533-position model. The record is from RNAcentral. Lineage: Bacteria; Pseudomonadati; Pseudomonadota; Gammaproteobacteria; Pseudomonadales; Pseudomonadaceae.
CGUCAGCUCGUGUCGUGAGAUGUUGGGUUAAGUCCGUAACGAGCGCAACCCUUGUCCUUAGUUACCAGCACGUUAUGGUGGGCACUCUAAGGAGACUGCCGGUGACAAACCGGAGGAAGGUGGGGAUGACGUCAAGUCAUCAUGGCCCUUACGGCCUGGGCUACACACGUGCUACAAUGGUCGGUACAAAGGGUUGCCAAGCCGCGAGGUGGAGCUAAUCCCAUAAAACCGAUCGUAGUCCGGAUCGCAGUCUGCAACUCGACUGCGUGAAGUCGGAAUCGCUAGUAAUCGUGAAUCAGAAUGUCACGGUGAAUACGUUCCCGGGCCUU